This 253-nucleotide ribosomal RNA is filed under the name uncultured bacterium. Its description in RNAcentral is "partial 16S ribosomal RNA". It matches the Rfam family "Bacterial small subunit ribosomal RNA", at positions 524 to 776 of the family's 1533-position model. The record is from RNAcentral.
UACGUAGGGGGCGAGCGUUGUCCGGAAUUACUGGGCGUAAAGCGCGCGUAGGCGGACCUGCAAGUCGGGGGUGAAAGCCCGAGGCUCAACCUCGGAACUGCCUUCGAUACUGCGGGUCUCGAGUCCGGGAGAGGUGAGUGGAAUUCCUGGUGUAGCGGUGAAAUGCGCAGAUAUCAGGAAGAACACCCGUGGCUAAGGCGGUUCUCUAGUACGGUACUGACGCUGAGACGCGAAAGCGUGGGGAGCGAACAGG